This 824-nucleotide long non-coding RNA is filed under the name Phasianus colchicus (ring-necked pheasant). RNAcentral describes it as "lncRNA (ENSPCLG00000021384.1)". Lineage: Eukaryota; Metazoa; Chordata; Aves; Galliformes; Phasianidae. The record is from RNAcentral.
UGUGUCCACACACUCAUGCCUUGUUUCAGGCAAGAAUAGUAAGGAGGUGAAGGAGGAGAGUGCUGAAGAAAGACUGAGGCAGUGGGCGUAUGAAAGAGGCUGCCAGCAGCUCGAGAGGCGCAUUGAAGCUGGGGAUGGAUGUAUUGCUGUGUGGAAAAGGAGAAAAUUCUCCCAGUGAUGGAACUAGCAUUCCGCUGGACCUGGUUCUUUGUGCUGAGGUGGCAGGCUUUCUCCUGAUGACAGGUGGUGGAAGAUCUCCGGAUUCAAAUUCUGAAGCUGCUGCUGAACAGCUAGGACAGAGGAGGGGUAAGCACUCAGUGGAUCUUUUGCUACAUUAUCUCUGCAUACCACGUAAGGUACAGAAGUGCCACAGCUGAGGAGACGUUCAGUCCUCAGAAGUAGUUCUCUAACUGAUCCAGUCAGGCAGGCUGAACUGCAGAAACUGACUUUUUGGGCUCUGUUUAAAGGGGUAACACGGAAUCACAGAAUCAUAGAUAGUCUCAGAUGCUUUGCCAGUGUUGACUGAUGACAUGAGCUGCACCUGAGCCAGCCUUGUGUUUCUGUUAAACUAGGCAGACACUGUGACCGCAGUGCACUCUACCCUGACAAUUAAUAUUAGUUCCAGAGAGCAAGGAAUGGCAGUUGUGUGAGAAUGUGCCUCUACAGAGCAGGUGGAGAAUGUUCAGCUAGAUAAAGCUGUGCAUCUUCUGGCCAUCAUCAGUGCAUCCCAGUAUGGGCCUCAGAAAGCAGUGACCCACAGGAUACACAUGGGUGCUCCAGCAAGGUGGUAACUGGGUCAACUGUUUUCUCCUGCUGAACGUAGC